RNAcentral lists this ribosomal RNA (219 nucleotides) under uncultured bacterium. RNAcentral describes it as "partial 16S ribosomal RNA". It matches the Rfam family "Bacterial small subunit ribosomal RNA", at positions 524 to 742 of the family's 1533-position model. The record is from RNAcentral.
UACGAAGGUCCCAAGCGUUAUCCGGAUUUAUUGGGUUAAAGGGUGCGUAGGCGGGUUAUUAAGUCAGUGGUGAAAGCCUGCAGCUUAACUGCAGAAUUGCCAUUGAUACUGAUGAUCUUGAGUAUGAUUGAGGUGGGCGGAAUGUGUCAUGUAGCGGUGAAAUGCUUAGAUAUGACACAGAACACCGAUUGCGAAGGCAGCUCACUAAGUCAAUAACUG